This 306-nucleotide ribosomal RNA is filed under the name Fusarium oxysporum. RNAcentral's name for it is "SSU rRNA". It matches the Rfam family "Eukaryotic small subunit ribosomal RNA", at positions 891 to 1195 of the family's 1831-position model. The record is from RNAcentral. Lineage: Eukaryota; Fungi; Ascomycota; Sordariomycetes; Hypocreales; Nectriaceae.
UCAGUAUUCAAUUGUCAGAGGUGAAAUUCUUGGAUUUAUUGAAGACUAACUACUGCGAAAGCAUUUGCCAAGGAUGUUUUCAUUAAUCAGGAACGAAAGUUAGGGGAUCGAAGACGAUCAGAUACCGUCGUAGUCUUAACCAUAAACUAUGCCGACUAGGGAUCGGACGGUGUUAUUUUUUGACCCGUUCGGCACCUUACGAGAAAUCAAAGUGCUUGGGCUCCAGGGGGAGUAUGGUCGCAAGGCUGAAACUUAAAGAGAGAUUGACGGAAGGGCACCACCAGGGGUGGAGCCUGCGGCUUAAUU